GACGUAGGGCGCGAGCGUUGUCCGGAAUUAUUGGGCGUAAAGAGCUCGUAGGCGGUUUGUCGCGUCUGCCGUGAAAGUCCGGGGCUCAACUCCGGAUCUGCGGUGGGUACGGGCAGACUAGAGUGAUGUAGGGGAGACUGGAAUUCCUGGUGUAGCGGUGAAAUGCGCAGAUAUCAGGAGGAACACCGAUGGCGAAGGCAGGUCUCUGGGCAUUAACUGACGCUGAGGAGCGAAGCAUGGGGAGCGAACAGG
This 252-nucleotide ribosomal RNA is filed under the name uncultured bacterium. Its description in RNAcentral is "partial 16S ribosomal RNA". It matches the Rfam family "Bacterial small subunit ribosomal RNA", at positions 524 to 776 of the family's 1533-position model. The record is from RNAcentral.